Long non-coding RNA from Macrobrachium nipponense, 1478 nucleotides. RefSeq lists it as uncharacterized. The record is from RefSeq and is a predicted model, not a curated record. Lineage: Eukaryota; Metazoa; Arthropoda; Malacostraca; Decapoda; Palaemonidae. The transcript is spliced from 2 exons.
UCUAAGUGACGGUAUUUUCAAAUCAUGGAGUAAAAACUUGAAAACAUAAGUACUCACACUUGCGACAUGUGGCAUCUCAAGGACUGUGAGACUGACUGAGCAUUGGUUCGAUGACGUCAUCGACGGUGGCAUUACACACACACAGUUACAGUGUGUCAACUGUCACGUAACGCGGUCUUGUUGAGAGAGUGAACGCGCUUUUGAUACCGCUCGUGUUAGGUGACUUUCAAGGCUUUACUACUGCUUAUCGCUUACUUAAAUUGUCUCAUCUUCUAACUGUGGAUGACCCCUGGCAAAUAAGAAUAAGGUUUGAGUUCAAUAAUUGUGGAAGUAUCCAGGAACUACGAAGCUUAGAUUUUUCACCAGUAUUGUGAGAAAGUUGAACCUAACAAUGUGGUCGUGGAUAGCAAGGGCAGCGCUUUUCUUGGCUUUAAUAUCUGUGAUUGUGGGUCCAAGGCUUUCUUCAAAACUGACUCCAAACUGUAAACUCGAUGGUGUCUGGGAGGACGCUCAUAACUCUGAUUACUUGGUGGCAAAAUUUGUGCCAAAACAGAACACUACAAAACUGUAUUCUGAAAUCUACAUAACCUAUUAUGUUUAUAAUGGCCGUUUCAGAGGACAUGGAAUUUAUAACGGCACGAAUACUGGAGCCUACAUCACCCUAGCUAGACCUGGCUUGGGCAAGAAUCGAAAUGGAUUUAUGAUCUGUCAUAAUGGGAGACUUUUUAUUGAGGGCUUUCAUCCCUAUGAACCUCAGGCACGGAGAGUUUUUGACAAGUCUGCAUCUCCUUCUAAGCCAGAUCAAGGAGGAGCUUUGACUGGUACCAGGGUUGAAACUGAAGGUAAAGGGAACACAUCUAAAGCAACGCAGAAUGGAAUGGAACCUACAACGGAAGAUCGUCCAUCAACAGUUGCCUUUAAGUUGCAGACUUUUAAUGUUACUUGUAAGUGCACAAAUCAGAAUUUUGAUGGUGUCUGUAACUGCAUUAUUGAUUAAAACGUAGUUUCAUUCAAACUGAGGAGAAUCCAAAUUUGUAACAUCUUGGAAGAUAUAAUGUCAUGGUUGAGGUAUAUGUAUUUUUAACCUAGCAUUGAAUGAUGGUGAUAUGAUAUUUUUUUCAUCAAAAAGGUUGUUAUUUUCUGACAAGGAAACAAAGUUAAUGAAUGCCUGCUGAUGUAUCAGUACUCAAAUUCAACUCAGUUAAGUAACACGUGGACUAAAUGUUUUGUUUUCAGAAUUUUAUUUUAGCUAUAUGUGAUUAAUAGUAUGAUUCUAGAAAGUAUGAUUUCAUAUAUGAUAUGGUAACCAGAUUAUGUUGAUAUGUAUUUUUAUUGAAUGAAGAUUAUUUUAUCAUUUACUAUGGUUAUUGCUUUAAAAACUGACUUUUUUUUCUGAAAAGGAAAGAACCCCAUUUGGGCAUAAUUACUUUAGAUAUGUAAUACUAUAAACCAACUAGAGAAAAUAAAAUCAGUUCUGU